AGGUCCAUAAAAUUGGCAACAUUGCGUUGGCGAUGAAAAUGGUGAAGUGUUUCCAAAAAGGUCACAGUGUUGCCGCCGAAAAAUUUAUGCAAAUUCAUUGCGAAUUUUAAUGCCCCACGGGAGCCUCACUGCAGGAGCAUCCAGCAUCAUCGACGUUUUCGAAUGCGGUCAAUGUGCCACAACGCAGCUGGCGAGCUGAUCAUGGGAGUCGGCAGACGGGAGUCGGCAGACGGGAGUCGGGAGCCGGCGACCGGGGAAAUGAAUUUGUAAUGAAAGUGGUUAUCCGGCAUUCAGUGACCCGCCGGAUUCCUGCAGGAAUUGACGGCGUAAACGGAUAGACAUUAAGCGAAAUUAAACAGGCAAAUAAUUCAAAAGCACGCGUAGUUCUGCGAGGUUCAAUAAAAAUCAAAAGCAUGUUUUUG
Non-coding RNA from Drosophila melanogaster (fruit fly), 422 nucleotides. Lineage: Eukaryota; Metazoa; Arthropoda; Insecta; Diptera; Drosophilidae. The record is from Ensembl.